This 1130-nucleotide long non-coding RNA is filed under the name Homo sapiens (human). Its description in RNAcentral is "non-protein coding lnc-MYL2-1:4". Lineage: Eukaryota; Metazoa; Chordata; Mammalia; Primates; Hominidae. The record is from RNAcentral.
AGAAGCCCUCGGGCCCUUGGGGAGGGACGGGCACUGUUCCCCAGAGCAGUGCAAUCAAUGCUGGGAAACUGAAGCUGCGAGUGUCCGAGGGACCCUGGGAUGUCUCUGGGGUCUGCGUAGGUACCCAUGGAGGAGCAGAGAUGGUGGAUGAAGGAGGCCGUGGAGGAGAAAAGAACACAGGAAUUUACCAGAAAUUGGCAGGCUGUGGAAUUGAUGGAGUCCACUUACUGUCCAGGCCUAAGGGGUCCAAUAAUCCCAUCCUUUGCCGAAAGCUUUACUGUGGGACUGGCAUCAUUUCAAGCAUUUAAUCCUCGUCCCAACUCUACGAGGAAGGGUCUCGCUUUGUCACCCAGGCUGGAGUGCAAUGGUGCAAUCACAGCAUACUGCAGCCUCAACCUCCCAGGCUCAAGCAAUCCUCCCACCUCAGCUUCGGUCUCCCUCUCAUGCUGAGCCAAACCUGGACUGUGCUGCUGCCAUCUCGGCUCACUGCAACCUCCCUGCCUGAUUCUCCUGCCUCAGCCUGCCGAGUGCCUGCGACUGCAGGCGCGCGCCACCACACCUGACUGGUUUUCGUGUUUUUUUGGUGGAGACGGGGUUUCGCUGUGUUGGCCGGGCUGGUCUCCAGCUCCUAACCGCGAGUGAUCCACCAGCCUCGGCCUCCCGAGGUGCCGGGAUUGCAGACGGAGUCUCGUUAACUCAGUGCUCAAUGGUGCCCAGGCUGGAGUGCAGUGGCGUGAUCUCGGCUCGCUACAAUCUCCACCUCCCAGCCGCCUGCCUUGGCCCCCCAAAGUGCGGAGAGUGCAGCCUCUGCCCGGCCGCCACCCCGUCUGGGAAGUGAGGAGCGUCUCUGCCUGGCCGCCCAUCGUCUGGGAUGUGAGGAGCCCCUCUGCCUGGCUGCCCAGUCUGGAAAGUGAGGAGCGUCUCUGCCCGGCCGCCAUCCCACCUGGGAAGUGAGGAGUGCCUCUUCCCAGCCGCCAUCCCAUCUAGGAAGUGAGGAGCAUCUCUGCCCGGCCGCCCAUCGUCUGAGAUGUGGGGAGCGCCUCUGCCCCGCCACCCCGUCUGGGAUGUGAGGAGCGCCUGGGCCCGGCCGCGACCCCGUCUGGGAGAAAAGCACAGAUGUGGUCCUGGCU